GUGCCAGCAGCCGCUGUAAUACAGAGGUCCCAAGCGUUACUCGGAAUUACUGGGCGUAAAGCGUGCGUAGGUGGUUCGUUAAGUCUGAUGUGAAAGCCCUGGGCUCAACCUGGGAAUGGCAUUGGAUACUGGCGAUCUAGAGUGCGGUAGAGGGCAGUGGAGUUCCCGGUGUAGCAGUGAAAUGCGUAGAGAUCGGGAGGAACAUCUGUGGCGAAGGCGACUGCCUGGACCAGCACUGACACUGAGGCACGAAAGCGUGGGGAGCAAACAGGGUUAGAAACCCUGGUAGUCC
Molecule: ribosomal RNA, 292 nt
Filed under: uncultured bacterium
Lineage: Bacteria
Description: partial 16S ribosomal RNA
Rfam family: Bacterial small subunit ribosomal RNA
Source: RNAcentral